GAGAAUGUGGCUCAGUUGGUAGAGUGCUUGCCUGGAAUGCAUGAAGCUCUGGGUUUGAUUCCCAGCAUCUCA
This 72-nucleotide transfer RNA is filed under the name Cricetulus griseus (Chinese hamster). It matches the Rfam family "tRNA". From Rfam's summary of the family: Transfer RNA (tRNA) molecules are approximately 80 nucleotides in length. Their secondary structure includes four short double-helical elements and three loops (D, anti-codon, and T loops). Further hydrogen bonds mediate the characteristic L-shaped molecular structure. tRNAs have two regions of fundamental functional importance: the anti-codon, which is responsible for specific mRNA codon recognition, and the 3' end, to which the tRNAs corresponding amino acid is attached (by aminoacyl-tRNA synthetases). tRNAs cope with the degeneracy of the genetic code in two manners: having more than one tRNA (with a specific anti-codon) for a particular amino acid; and 'wobble' base-pairing, i.e. permitting non-standard base-pairing at the 3rd anti-codon position. Lineage: Eukaryota; Metazoa; Chordata; Mammalia; Rodentia; Cricetidae. The record is from Rfam by way of RNAcentral.